GAUGAACGCUAGCGAUAGGCUUAACACAUGCAAGUCGAGGGGCAGCAUGGUCUUAGCUUGCUAAGACUGAUGGCGACCGGCGCACGGGUGCGUAACGCGUAUGCAACUUGCCUCACAGAGGGGGAUAACCCGUCGAAAGACGGACUAAUACCGCGUACACUCCAUCUUGGGCAUCCAAGGUAGAGGAAAUGAAAUUCGCUGUGAGAUAGGCAUGCGUCCCAUUAGCUAGUUGGUGAGGUAACGGCUCACCAAGGCGACGAUGGGUAGGGGAACUGAGAGGUUGAACCCCCACACUGGUACUGAGACACGGACCAGACUCCUACGGGAGGCAGCAGUGAGGAAUAUUGGUCAAUGGGCGAGAGCCUGAACCAGCCAAGUCGCGUGAAGGAUGACUGUCUUAUGGAUUGUAAACUUCUUUUAUACGGGAAUAACAAGAGUCACGGGUGACUCCCUGCAUGUACCGUAUGAAUAAGCAUCGGCUAACUCCGUG
This 490-nucleotide ribosomal RNA is filed under the name uncultured bacterium. RNAcentral's name for it is "partial 16S ribosomal RNA". It matches the Rfam family "Bacterial small subunit ribosomal RNA", at positions 28 to 507 of the family's 1533-position model. The record is from RNAcentral.